AGCGGCGGACGGGUGAGUAACGCGUGGGUAACCUGCCUCAUACAGGGGGAUAACAGUUGGAAACGGCUGCUAAUACCGCAUAAGCGCACAGUACCGCAUGGUACGGUGUGAAAAACUCCGAUGGUAUGAGAUGGACCCGCGUCUGAUUAGGUAGUUGGUGGGGUAACGGCCUACCAAGCCGACGAUCAGUAGCCGACCUGAGAGGGUGACCGGCCACAUUGGGACUGAGACACGGCCCAA
Molecule: ribosomal RNA, 240 nt
Filed under: uncultured bacterium
Lineage: Bacteria
Description: partial 16S ribosomal RNA
Rfam family: Bacterial small subunit ribosomal RNA
Source: RNAcentral